GGGAAACCGAGUCUUAACUGGGCGAAUAGUUGCAAGGUAUAGACCCGAAACCCGGUGAUCUAGCCAUGGGCAGGUUGAAGGUUGGGUAACACUAACUGGAGGACCGAACCGACUAAUGUUGAAAAAUUAGCGGAUGACUUGUGGCUGGGGGUGAAAGGCCAAUCAAACCGGGAGAUAGCUGGUUCUCCCCGAAAUCUAUUUAGGUAGAGCCUUGAGCGGACACCUUCGGGGGUAGAGCACUGUUUCGGCUAGGGGUCCAUCCCGGAUUACCAACCCGAUGCAAACUACGAAUACCGAAGAGUGAUACUCAGGAGACACACGGCGGGUGCUAACGUCCGUCGUGGAGAGGGAAACAACCCAGACCGCCAGCUAAGGUCCCAAAGUCUAUAUUAAGUGGGAAACGAAGUGGGAAGGCUUAGACAGCUAGGAUGUUGGCUUAGAAGCAGCCAUCAUUUAAAGAAAGCGUAAUAGCUCACUAGUCGAGUCGGCCUGCGCGGAAGAUGUAACGGGGCUCAAAUAUAGCACCGAAGCUGCGGCAUCAGUAGCAAUACUGUUGGGUAGGGGAGCGUUCUGUAAGCGGAUGAAGGUGGCUCGAGAGGGCUGCUGGACGUAUCAGAAGUGCGAAUGCUGACAUAAGUAACGAUAAAGCGGGUGAAAAGCCCGCUCGCCGGAAGACCAAGGGUUCCUGUCCAACGUUAAUCGGGGCAGGGUGAGUCGACCCCUAAGGCGAGGCCGAAAGGCGUAGUCGAUGGGAAACGGGUUAAUAUUCCUGUACUUGGUGUUACUGCGAUGUGGGGACGGAGCAGGUUAGGUUAUCGCACUGUUGGAUAUGUGCGUUUAAGUUGGUAGGUGGGAAGUUUAGGCAAAUCCGGACUUCUUUAACACUGAGAGAUGAUGGCGAGGCUCUACGGAGCUGAAGUAACCGAUACCACACUUCCAGGAAAAGCCACUAAGCUUCAGGUUUAUCUAAACCGUACUGAAAACCGACACAGGUGGUCAGGUAGAGAAUACUCAGGCGCUUGAGAGAACUCGGGUGAAGGAACUAGGCAAAAUAGCACCGUAACUUCGGGAGAAGGUGCGCCGGCGUAGAUUGUAGUCCCUUGCGGACGAAGGUUGAACCGGUCGAAGAUACCAGCUGGCUGCAACUGUUUAUUAAAAACACAGCACUCUGCAAACACGAAAGUGGACGUAUAGGGUGUGAUGCCUGCCCGGUGCUGGAAGGUUAAUUGAUGGUGUAAUCGAAAGAGAAGCUCCUGAUCGAAGCCCCGGUAAACGGCGGCCGUAACUAUAACGGUCCUAAGGUAGCGAAAUUCCUUGUCGGGUAAGUUCCGACCUGCACGAAUGGCGUAAUGAUGGCCAGGCUGUCUCCACCCGAGACUCAGUGAAAUUGAACUCGCUGUGAAGAUGCAGUGU
This 1413-nucleotide ribosomal RNA is filed under the name human gut metagenome. RNAcentral describes it as "bacterial LSU rRNA". It matches the Rfam family "Bacterial large subunit ribosomal RNA", at positions 671 to 2067 of the family's 2925-position model. The record is from RNAcentral.